AUGAACGCUGGCGGCGUGCCAAAUACAUGCAAGUCGAGCGAACGGACGAGAAGCUUGCUUCUCUGAUGUUAGCGGCGGACGGGUGAGUAACACGUGGAUAACCUACCUAUAAGACUGGGAUAACUUCGGGAAACCGGAGCUAAUACCGGAUAAUAUUUUGAACCGCAUGGUUCAAAAGUGAAAGACGGUCUUGCUGUCACUUAUAGAUGGAUCCGCGCUGCAUUAGCUAGUUGGUAAGGUAACGGCUUACCAAGGCAACGAUGCAUAGCCGACCUGAGAGGGUGAUCGGCCACACUGGAACUGAGACACGGUCCAGACUCCUACGGGAGGCAGCAGUAGGGAAUCUUCCGCAAUGGGCGAAAGCCUGACGGAGCAACGCCGCGUGAGUGAUGAAGGUCUUCGGAUCGUAAAACUCUGUUAUUAGGGAAGAACAUAUGUGUAAGUAACUGUGCACAUCUUGACGGUACCUAAUCAGAAAGCCACGGCUAACUACGUG
This 496-nucleotide ribosomal RNA is filed under the name uncultured bacterium. RNAcentral's name for it is "partial 16S ribosomal RNA". It matches the Rfam family "Bacterial small subunit ribosomal RNA", at positions 29 to 507 of the family's 1533-position model. The record is from RNAcentral.